UAGACUUGUUGAAGCAGAUUUUGGUUGAUCAAAACAUCCAGCAAAUUCUGUCCAGACAGGUUUUCAAUCUGUUGAAAUUCUGGACAGAUUCAAAAUCUGCACAGUUACAGAUCUGUCCAGUUCCAUACUAAAUCUGUUCAAGGGUUUAACAUCUGUUGAAGUUACAGAAACUUGCCUGUUCGGACAGAAUUAUUUGCCUUAAUACCAGCCAUUUUCCAGCAGUCUUGUGGGUAGAAAAACAGUCUGAAAAAUCCCUUGUCUUGCUGUCCAAACUUUGUUUUGUUUGCAUUAUUCUACAUUCUAGUUUUAGAGAAAUUUUUAAAGAGAGUAUUAGAACACAAGGUUCUAGUUUGCCAUAUAAAUUUUGUGUGGAGUGCUAUUACAAAUUUGUGAAGAUCAUUGUAUCCUGGGAGAUAGACGCCACUCAACCGUAAGUAUCAUAGCGGGGCAAAUCUGUCUUAAGGACAGAGUGUCACACACUCGACUUGAUCUUUGAAUUAUUAAUUCGGUUCAAUAAAUAACUUCGGGUGCAACAUAUUCCUCCACCACUGUUAGACAUGAUGGAAGUCAUUGAACUGCCAGGAUAUACACCUGAAGAAAAGCUUAAAAUAGCAAUUUGACACCUCAUCCCACGAGUUCUGGAUCACCAUGGCUUGAGUUCUGAGUUCUUUCAAAUUCCUGAGAUUGACUAGUCUUCCCACAUUGUUAGGGCUUACUUGACUUUGAAGGAGAUCUCUCUUCCCCAUCUGUGGGUCAUCGAUCUUGAUCCCUCAAGCCGCUUUGUAUGUCCUUGCCACCAUCGCUAACACCACCGGUAGUCUUUGUCGGCACAUCUGACUGUAAGCCUUGUGGUAAUGAUACCAGAGAGCAACUCAUCGGUAGCGGCUGGGCUUGGGCUAAGGCUAGGGCUCCAUACUGAUCGAGCUGCCACUGGUUUGACUAAUUUGAUGGUGGGUCCACCGUCAUUCUAUAGGAACAAGCCGACCGCACUUGAUCUUCUUGAGCUGGGGAUUGAAGCUGGUGGAGCCUCCAUUGUUGGCUUAUCGGCUUUGUUCACUUCCAUUGGAGGUGGGCUUGAUGUUGCGACAGCGGCGGCCUCAUUUGGAGGAGUGAAUUCCUCGGCUGUAGAAUCUAGGAAGUUCAUCUGAAAUUACCAUGUUUGUUUCUAGUCUUUUGAAAACACUUUUAAGAAAAUUCUAUUUUCUUAUUUUUCAUAUUUUUUUGUUUUUAAUAUAUUUUUUUAAUAUUUUAAGCGA
Non-coding RNA from Camellia sinensis, 1256 nucleotides. NCBI's taxonomy places the organism in Eukaryota, Viridiplantae, Streptophyta, Magnoliopsida, Ericales, Theaceae. The record is from RefSeq and is a predicted model, not a curated record.